AGCGCCGAGGCGUGCCCAGGAUGGAGCCGGCGGACGGCGAGGACGAGCCCGGGCCCCCGGCGCGGCUGGCGCCCAGCCCGCACAGCGAGGCCNNNNNNNNNNNNNNNNNNNNGUGGCGCACGAGCUGCGGGGGCUGUCGCUGCAGGCCGGGCCCUGCCUGCCGCCCCUCACCGAGCGCAAGAAUGGCUGAAGGUUGGCAGAACACUUGGAAGUCUGUGUUGCAGAAGAGUGGAAGGAGCAAGCAUUGAUGACCUUAGAUGUAAAGCAAACGUUUAUGAAAAGUUUGUGCAAUACAUUGCCAUUAAAUGAGAUGUUACUGGACUCUGGUUUAUGGAACUGACGGAGAUGUUCCAUUCCAAGGCCUUUUUUCUUCCUUUCACCCAGUCAUGCAAUAUAUUCAAAUUAAAUUUAAAUUCAAAUGAGAGGUACUUGUGCCCUCUGAAAAUACUUCAAAUUUUAACAGAUUUAAUUUUCACUGAAACCAAGAGCUUGUUGUAUGUUUUUUACUUCAGCCUCUGGUUUGGAUACACUGAUGCAGUGUAACAGAGUUUAAACCUGUAAUUGAAAAAUACAGCAUGCACAACUCAAGAUUUUCUUUCAGCUGAAAGAGAUACUUUGGUUUUGUUGUUUGAUAGAAACCAGUCUCUCAGCUGCAGUUUUGUUUCUAGGUCAUUAUAGGUUUCUCUGUGAUCCUCAGAGUCAUUUUGCUAUUUGUAAUGUUAAAAACAGCUCUUUUGAAACAGGUACAUGCUCAAAUUGCAGAGGUUUUAAGUCCAAUGUUUAGUUUGGAAAUGAGUAGUUCUGUCUCUUACAAAACAUCUCUAUUUAAAUAGUCACCAGCAGAAAGAGAAUAUGAAAAAAUUGCAAUUCGAAAAAGUUUUUUGCCUUUUUUUAGCAAUGCUAUCAAUUUCAAAUGACACUCCAAAUUCCAGCUCACUUUUAGACACUGAACACAAAAUCAUUUCAAACUCUGAGUGGAGAUCCCAAGCAAGAUCCCAAGCUUUUUCUGUCCCUAAUUUAUAUUGCAUAAUUCAUGAGUUGUUCUAUUAAUUGUAUUACUGCUAAAAUAAAGAGUCGUCAAAGAACA
RNAcentral lists this long non-coding RNA (1087 nucleotides) under Cyanistes caeruleus (blue tit). Its description in RNAcentral is "lncRNA (ENSCCEG00000004436.1)". The record is from RNAcentral. Lineage: Eukaryota; Metazoa; Chordata; Aves; Passeriformes; Paridae.